CCUGGUGGUUUUGGCGAAGCGCUCAGAACCCGAUCCCAUUCCGAACUCGGCCGUUAAACGCUUCAGCGCCGAUGGUACUAUGUCUUAAGGCAUGGGAGAGUAGGUCGCUGCCAGGU
This 116-nucleotide ribosomal RNA is filed under the name Devosia sp. Lineage: Bacteria; Pseudomonadati; Pseudomonadota; Alphaproteobacteria; Hyphomicrobiales; Devosiaceae. The record is from RNAcentral.